Molecule: long non-coding RNA, 618 nt
Filed under: Pongo abelii (Sumatran orangutan)
Lineage: Eukaryota; Metazoa; Chordata; Mammalia; Primates; Hominidae
Description: lincRNA
Source: RNAcentral
GACAGAGAAAUGAAAAGAAGGGACUAAUGGGGAAUAAGACGUGUGAUCCAUGGCCCAAUGGCCCUGAUGGACGUGAAGAUCCACUGUUGUGGGAGGAAUGGAACACUAACACUAAAUGAUGGAGGCUGUGGUCAGAAACAGAUUUGUCUGAAUUUCAGUUGAUCCAGAGCAAGAAAAAUAGCUGAAUAUAACUGGCCAGUGCAGAAGAGCCUAUGAAGGUGGAAAAUGGAGGAAGGAGGACCCCAUGCUGGAGAAGUGAUGGAGUUUUGAAGUCUUGGAAGAUGGUGGCAAGGGAGAUGCCAGAGAUGAGACAAACCUAAUACUCUGUUAAACAUCUGUAAUCUAACAGUCUUCUAUAGGAGUUUAUUUUAUUUCCAUAUCCUAUGUUCACUUCUAGUGAGAAAUAAAAAUAAAAUCUUAAGCCCCCCACAACUGACUAAAUGGAUCCCAUUGUGAAAGGAAAAUAUCUUGAGCCUCCAAAAUCACUAAGGAAAAUUCAAGCUGGAAACUUCUUAGGACAAACCUGCCUCCCAUUCUCUUCAAAGUUAUUCCUCUGCUCAAGGAGCUAGAUGCAUAUCUGAUUGCCGCCUUUGGAAAGGCUAACCAGAAACUCAAAAG